This 1037-nucleotide long non-coding RNA is filed under the name Felis catus (domestic cat). Its description in RNAcentral is "lncRNA (ENSFCAG00000042724.2)". Lineage: Eukaryota; Metazoa; Chordata; Mammalia; Carnivora; Felidae. The record is from RNAcentral.
CCCCUCCCGGGUCCCUGGCUCUUCCCUGGCUGGCCGCGGCGACGUCUGUGUGCGUGCUUGUGCGUGUUUUAUUUGCGCAGGGUUCGGUAAAACGGGGUUUGGGUUGCAUUUCGCUCCCCACAGACCCAGAGCCGAAUUUCUGAGGUAUCCGGGCUCUGGUGGACUGAGGGGGGCGACGCGCCCCGCGCCUGGCAUCCUCUGAGAGCUUAUCCGAGGGCCGGGAGCUGUGUCCGCGGGCGCCGCGCGGCCGCCCCCAGUCCGCGCCCCAAGACCACGCGGUUGCGUGGGCGGCAGCCGUGAGGGUGGCUGCGCGCGUGGGAGCGCCGGGAGCAUGCGUGUGCGGGUGCGUGCGGCUGGAGGGCGCGCGCCCGAGCGCUGCCGCGGGGUUCCCGGGGCGGCGGGAGGCGGCCAAGCCAGUGGCUCCUCGGAAUGGCGUGGUCGCCACGAAUCAGCAAGUGAUGAUUGAGGGUCUACAUGAGAUCCAAAGAAAAAAGACACGUGCCUAAUUUAUAAGCCUAAUCGAAAUGAACACAGAUACACAACCAACUGUGAUGCUGGCUCAAGAGGUCUCCAGGUGAGGUACAGGUGGAACGGGACUUCAGGGGAGAGAGAUUUCAUCCAGAGAGAGGGAAUUAGGGAGGAAGGCCACAUAUGAAAACAUUCUCUAACCUACGGCCAAUUUGUGCUCAGGGAUACUGGCAGGGAUUAGCCUACAGCCUGGGGGAUGUGAGGAAGAAGACCAGACAGUCUGGGAAAAUGGUAGAGGCUGAGCAGUCCAAUGCAUGGUGUGAAAAAGGGUCGAGCUAACUUGGCCUUGGUUGCAGCUAAUUUGGCCUUGGUGCUAGAAUAGGUCACUGGGGUUCAGGGUGCCAGUGACAAAGUCAAGUGUGGGUCAGUUCCGUGGUUCUGUGCCAACAGCCCAUUCUCAAGAGGACGAGAAUCACAGCUGAGGAUAAAUGGAACAUGAUCGAGCCCUCAAAGGGAAGGGCUUGGGAAGAGCUGGUUGAAAAUCUCAGACCAGUAGGCUGGUGUUCGGG